This is a long non-coding RNA of Eptesicus fuscus (big brown bat), 197 nucleotides long. RefSeq lists it as uncharacterized. Lineage: Eukaryota; Metazoa; Chordata; Mammalia; Chiroptera; Vespertilionidae. The record is from RefSeq and is a predicted model, not a curated record. The transcript is spliced from 3 exons.
GAAAGAACUCCAAAGUCAGCCAACAUCUGUAACAUGGGAAACUACAGGCCAGAGAGGAUGGGUGACUUGCUCUGAGUCACAGACUAAGUGAGCAGCAGAGUCAGAAUGAGGACACUUGUCUCCUAGCCCAGUGUUCUUCACACCGACACACUCCCAUUAACCUGGAGUGGUGUGAACAGGAAACACUCAAAGGUGCU